CCUACGGGCGGCUGCAGUGGGGAAUAUUGCACAAUGGGCGCAAGCCUGAUGCAGCCAUGCCGCGUGUGUGAAGAAGGCCUUCGGGUUGUAAAGCACUUUCAGCGGGGAGGAAGGCGUUAAGGUUAAUAACCUUGGCGAUUGACGUUACCCGCAGAAGAAGCACCAGCUAACUCCGUGCCAGCAGCCGCGGUAAUACGGAGGGUGCAAGCGUUAAUCGGAAUUACUGGGCGCAAAGCGCACGCAGGCGGUCUGUCAAGUCGGAUGUGAAAUCCCCGGGCUCAACCUGGGAACUGCAUUCGAAACUGGCAGGCUAGAGUCUUGUAGAGGGGGGUAGAAUUCCAGGUGUAGCGGUGAAAUGCGUAGAGAUCUGGAGGAAUACCGGUGGCGAAGGCGGCCCCCUGGACAAAGACUGACGCUCAGGUGCGAAAGCGUGGGGAGCAAACAGGAUUAGAUACCCGAGUAGUC
RNAcentral lists this ribosomal RNA (465 nucleotides) under uncultured Klebsiella sp. RNAcentral describes it as "bacterial SSU rRNA". It matches the Rfam family "Bacterial small subunit ribosomal RNA", at positions 338 to 795 of the family's 1533-position model. The record is from RNAcentral. Lineage: Bacteria; Pseudomonadati; Pseudomonadota; Gammaproteobacteria; Enterobacterales; Enterobacteriaceae.